GAGUGAUCGAAAGAUGAAAAGCACUUUGAAAAGAGAGUUAAACAGCACGUGAAAUUGUUGAAAGGGAAGCGUUUGCGACCAGACUCGCCCGCGGGGUUCAGCCGGCAUUCGUGCCGGUGUACUUCCCCGUGGGCGGGCCAGCGUCGGUUUGGGCGGCCGGUCAAAGGCCCUCGGAAUGUAUCACCCCCGGGGUGUCUUAUAGCCGAGGGUGCAAUGCGGCCUGCCCGGACCGAGGAACGCGYUCGGY
This 247-nucleotide ribosomal RNA is filed under the name Aspergillus fischeri var. fischeri. RNAcentral describes it as "partial large subunit ribosomal RNA". It matches the Rfam family "Eukaryotic large subunit ribosomal RNA", at positions 351 to 605 of the family's 3401-position model. Lineage: Eukaryota; Fungi; Ascomycota; Eurotiomycetes; Eurotiales; Aspergillaceae. The record is from RNAcentral.